CCUACGGGAGGCAGCAGUAGGGAAUAUUGGUCAAUGGGCGAGAGCCUGAACCAGCCAUGCCGCGUGCAGGAAGAAGGCCCUCUGGGUUGUAAACUGCUUUUGACAGGGGCCAAAAUACUCAUGCGUGAGGAAUUGAGAGUACCUGUAGAAUAAGCACCGGCUAACUCCGUGCCAGCAGCCGCGGUAAUACGGAGGGUGCAAGCGUUGUCCGGAUUUAUUGGGUUUAAAGGGUGCGUAGGUGGCCUUAUAAGUCAGUGGUGAAGGCCUGCAGCUUAACUGUAGGACUGCCAUUGAUACUGUAGGGCUUGAGUACUGAUGAGGUAGGCGGAAUUGAUAGUGUAGCGGUGAAAUGCAUAGAUAUUAUCAAGAACACCGAUUGCGAAGGCAGCUUACUAAGGAGUUACUGACACUGAGGCACGAAAGCGUGGGGAUCAAACAGGAUUAGAUACCCUGGUAGUCCACGCCAUAAACGAUGAUUACUCGAUGUAUGCGAUAGAUAGUAUGCGUCCAAGCGAAAGCGUUAAGUAAUCCACCUGGGGAGUAGACCGCAAAGGUUGAACCGUCAAAGGAAUUGACGG
This 578-nucleotide ribosomal RNA is filed under the name uncultured bacterium. RNAcentral describes it as "bacterial SSU rRNA". It matches the Rfam family "Bacterial small subunit ribosomal RNA", at positions 338 to 916 of the family's 1533-position model. The record is from RNAcentral.